UCCGGCAUGGUCUAGUGGCUAGGAUACGUGGCUUUCACCCACGAGGCCCGGGUUCGAUUCCCGGUGUCGGAA
This is a transfer RNA of Tropilaelaps mercedesae, 72 nucleotides long. It matches the Rfam family "tRNA". From Rfam's summary of the family: Transfer RNA (tRNA) molecules are approximately 80 nucleotides in length. Their secondary structure includes four short double-helical elements and three loops (D, anti-codon, and T loops). Further hydrogen bonds mediate the characteristic L-shaped molecular structure. tRNAs have two regions of fundamental functional importance: the anti-codon, which is responsible for specific mRNA codon recognition, and the 3' end, to which the tRNAs corresponding amino acid is attached (by aminoacyl-tRNA synthetases). tRNAs cope with the degeneracy of the genetic code in two manners: having more than one tRNA (with a specific anti-codon) for a particular amino acid; and 'wobble' base-pairing, i.e. permitting non-standard base-pairing at the 3rd anti-codon position. Lineage: Eukaryota; Metazoa; Arthropoda; Arachnida; Mesostigmata; Laelapidae. The record is from Rfam.